AUGCAAGUCGAGCGGAUGACAGGAGCUUGCUCCUGAAUUCAGCGGCGGNACGGGUGAGUAAUGCCUAGGAAUCUGCCUGGUAGUGGGGGACAACGUUUCGAAAGGAACGCUAAUACCGCAUACGUCCUACGGGAGAAAGCAGGGGACCUUCGGGCCUUGCGCUAUCAGAUGAGCCUAGGUCGGAUUAGCUAGUUGGUGAGGUAAUGGCUCACCAAGGCGACGAUCCGUAACUGGUCUGAGAGGAUGAUCAGUCAC
Molecule: ribosomal RNA, 255 nt
Filed under: Pseudomonas sp. 75.5_a_2
Lineage: Bacteria; Pseudomonadati; Pseudomonadota; Gammaproteobacteria; Pseudomonadales; Pseudomonadaceae
Description: partial 16S ribosomal RNA
Rfam family: Bacterial small subunit ribosomal RNA
Source: RNAcentral